AUGGACAUGGAGCACACCGAUCUGCUACUGGACAUACUGCGCCGCCUCCCACCGUGCAGCCUGGCCGUCUCCCGCUGCGUCUGCACGGCCUGGCGCGGCACAGUUGACCACCAUCAUCUCCUGCGCGCCGACCUGCUGCCGCUCUCCCUCGACGCCGUCAUCUACAACGAACUUCAGAUGGACCCGCCGAAGCUCUUCGGUCGCCGCUUAACCACGCGCUACAUCACCAGCAACCUCGACUACGUCGCCGACGACCCGGAUUACACCGACUUCGUACUGGACUACUGCAACGGUCUCUUCUUGGUCGAGAGCGUGAAGGUGGUCAAUCCCGCCACACGGCAAUGGGCGCGGCUGCCGCUGGUGAAGUGCGGACCCUGCCACAGUAACCGCUAUCUCGCCUAUGACCCCACUGUCUCGCCACACUACGAGGUGUUCUUCAUCCCUCGUAUUCGGGCUGCUUCAGCCGAAACGAUCUGCAGCGCUUUGGAAGGAGAAGUCAUGCAUGUCUACUCCUCAAAGACACACGUUUGGAAGGAGAAGUCAUUUGUGCGAGAAGGUGAUGCUGCGGGAACAAUCCAAGAUGUGCAAUCAUGUUAUAAUUCUGAUCGGAGUAUGUACUACACCGCUUACUGGCAAGGGUCACUCUACGUUCCUUCCAGACACAUAAAAAAUGCUUUUCUUUUGAGAAUAAACUUGUCGACAGAUAAGUAUCAAGUAAUUAAGUUGCCAAAAGCAGGCGUAGGAGAUUUCCGUCUAGGAAGAUCGAAGAAAGGUGUCUAUUGUGUAUUGCACACCAAUGUUCCAUGCACAUUUCAGGUCUGGUUUCUUCAUGAAUCAUGUGGUUCGAUAGACUGGGUUUUCAAGAAUGAAAUCAAUCUUGAGCCAGCAUUUAGUAAAGAAUGGCAUGCUGGACCAUGGAUUCCACAACCUCCUGAGAAGAUAGAAUUGUUGUUGCAGAAUGAUGUCAACCUUAAGCUUGUAGAUGAAUACAACCAAGCACUACGGAAAGAUGAUUUUGAAUGGGACUCUGAGGAUGAAAAUGUUGUGAGCAUUACAGACUGGCCUAAAAAGUGUGACGAUGACAUCAGAGUUCUUUAUUGUCUUGGUUUUCAUCCUUACAAAGAAAUUGUCUUGUUUCAUCAAACUCGGCUGUGCCCUUGUUCAGUGGUAGCCUACCAUUUAAGCAGCUCAAAGGUACGAUACCUGGGUCAGUUGUUGCCCCGCUGCCGCUAUUCAACGGAAGAGAUUUCUUUUGCGUACACACCAUGUUGGAUGAUGGAUUUACCUGGAAGAAACUAA
RNAcentral lists this ribosomal RNA (1299 nucleotides) under Triticum aestivum (bread wheat). Its description in RNAcentral is "partial small subunit ribosomal RNA". Lineage: Eukaryota; Viridiplantae; Streptophyta; Magnoliopsida; Poales; Poaceae. The record is from RNAcentral.